RNAcentral lists this ribosomal RNA (475 nucleotides) under uncultured organism. RNAcentral's name for it is "partial 16S ribosomal RNA". It matches the Rfam family "Bacterial small subunit ribosomal RNA", at positions 333 to 799 of the family's 1533-position model. The record is from RNAcentral.
ACACUCCUACGGGAGGCAGCAGUGGGGAAUUUUGGACAAUGGGCGCAAGCCUGAUCCAGCCAUGCCGCGUGCGGGAAGAAGGCCUUCGGGUUGUAAACCGCUUUUGUCAGGGAAGAAAAGGUUCUGGCUAAUACCUGGGACUCAUGACGGUACCUGAAGAAUAAGCACCGGCUAACUACGUGCCAGCAGCCGCGGUAAUACGUAGGGUGCAAGCGUUAAUCGGAAUUACUGGGCGUAAAGCGUGCGCAGGCGGUUAUGCAAGACAGAGGUGAAAUCCCCGGGCUCAACCUGGGAACUGCCUUUGUGACUGCAUGGCUAGAGUACGGUAGAGGGGGAUGGAAUUCCGCGUGUAGCAGUGAAAUGCGUAGAUAUGCGGAGGAACACCGAUGGCGAAGGCAAUCCCCUGGACCUGUACUGACGCUCAUGCACGAAAGCGUGGGGAGCAAACAGGAUUAGAUACCCGAGUAGUCCCAUG